CCCGGAGUGGUCUCGUCCCGGGAUCCCCUUCGGUCCUCCGGAUGGAGUUGCCGGGCCCGCCUCGCUGGGGUCGGCCCCCUCCCUUCGGGGGCGGGGCUCCAUCUCUUGGGUACUACACCCCCUCCCCCCCCACUGGGUCUUAGUCCUUUAAAUUCUUGGAAUCACUUUUGGGGCGUUAGAGACCCUGGAGCCGCACAGCGGGGUCCUGGGGGGCUAUAGAGUGGGGUCCUCUGGGCACUUAAUGAGAUUUGGGGGGUUCCGUUGAAAUGUUGCUGGGAGCUCAACUGGAAUCUAAAAGUUCUUCGGGAAGGUGAAGGCCAGGCACGCCGAGGGGGAGAAGCGAGCGGACAUCCAGCUGAACAGCUUCGGUUUCUACACCAAUGGCUCCCUGGAGGUGGAGUUGAGCCUCCUGCGGCUGGGCCUCCGGGAGGCAGAAGAGAAGUCCCUGCUGGUGGGGUUCAGUCUCAGCCGGGUUCGAUCUGGCAGAGUUCACACCUAUUCAACCCGGGAUUUCCAGGACUGCCCUCUCCAGAAAAACAGUAGCAGUUUCCUGGUCCUGUUCCUCAUCAACACCAAGGAUCUGCAGGUCCAGGUGCGGAAGUAUGGAGAGCAGAAGACGUUGUUUAUCUUUCCCGGGCUCCUCCCGGAAGCACCCUCCAAACCAGGGCUCCCGAAGCCACAGGCCACAGUCCCCCGCAAGGUGGAUGGCGGAGGGACCUCUGCAGCCAGCAAGCCCAAGUCAACACCCGCAGUGAUUCAGGUUUCGGGGAGGCGGGGCAGGAGGGAAGACGCACACCCCAGGGCCCUGCAGGGACCCAGAACCAGCUGAU
RNAcentral lists this small RNA (830 nucleotides) under Pongo abelii (Sumatran orangutan). Its description in RNAcentral is "retained intron". The record is from RNAcentral. Lineage: Eukaryota; Metazoa; Chordata; Mammalia; Primates; Hominidae.